This 2467-nucleotide long non-coding RNA is filed under the name Cinara cedri. Lineage: Eukaryota; Metazoa; Arthropoda; Insecta; Hemiptera; Aphididae. The record is from RNAcentral.
CCUGCUUAUUGCAUAAAUGCAUAAUAUAAUUAUUGCGCAGUAUAAUGGUUAAAUGUACAUACGUAUAGUCAAGUCCAGCGGUGAAACGAAAACGAUCUAUUAAAAGCAGUUGCUUCUCGAUUAUUUUUAAGAUUUAGGGGUGGGCGAAUGCUAUAUAUGAAAAUAACUAAAUAUUAGUAUCGACUCGUUUAUGAAUAAUUUAGUGAAAAUAUUGUGAAUCUUGGGAUAUAUUGUUUCGUGUUUGGUGAGUAUUUUAUACUAGUAACUAAAAUAUACGUUUAUGCUGACAGUCUGUAUUAUUUGUUUGUAUUUUAAUACGGCCUCUUGGCCUAUAAACCCCUCGCCCUCACUUGGGUACGCUACUGCAUACUAUGAUAUUAUACGUUAACUUAUGUUUUAAUUUAAAAUAUUCAUAAAUUGGUAAGUAGUUAUUUAGGUUUGGGUAGUUGUCUAGUUUUAUGACAUGGGUAUUUGAUAUAAUUUUUUUUUCAAAUUAAUUUUGUACACAUAUAGGUAUUAAUUUGAACAAGCAAAACACGAUAUUUCUAAAUUUCUAAAGACAUAAUAUAAGAUUUUUAUCAAUAAUUGAACCCUUGUGCUCUUGUAACAUUUGCAUAUUUGUUUUGUACUAUUAGAAAAAUAGCAGAGUAAGAAACAAAUACGUUUAAUUGCUAAGAAAAAAAAUUAAUUUUUAAUUUAAUUUUACAUAAUAUAAAUGCAUUUAUUUGGUUUUUGUUGUUUUUAGAGCAUAUUUCUUCUAUUUUAUGUUUUUUGAGCUAUAUUUUAUUUAAUUGUAUCAAUAUUUUUCUCAAUGAUGUUUUUAUUUCAUUCAGUUUUACAAUAAAAAUGUUUAGAUUUAAAAUUAUUUUUAAUUUUUAUCAUAUAACAUGAUUGUUACUGUUUCCUCGCCCCUCGACCCGUGAUACACCGAUACAUUCACUUUCUAGUGUUCUGUGAUUCUAAACGGUUGACUACGCGUUUUAAUUUAUUUUUAUUCACAAAAUGCCUUAAGUUAAAUUAUUAACAUCAAUCUUAGUAAUUAAAUAAUGAUGUGUCUGAAUUCGGUCCUAAAGUGUUAAAUGAUUAUGUGUUAAUUUUGGACAUUUUAAAAACAGAAAUACUUUUUUGUUAUUUUGAAAAUUGGAAGAAGUAUCUGCAAGUUAACUGCCUAAGGAAAAUAAAUUUAGUAAAUAUAUUUGGAAAAAAAAAAAUCAAUCUUGUUUUCAAUUUCAAACUGCUUAUUUUGAGUUAUAUUAUUUUAUACAUAAAUGCUUAUUUUAAGUAUUUAAGUGCAUAUUUGGUAUAGCUUUUUAGAACUAAAAGUCCUCUACCCUAAUGAUAACUGAUGAUAAUAUGCACACAUUAAUCAUAGUGAACACGAUAUUUUGUCAACACUGUAGGUUCCUACAUGCUUAAUAUUUAUUCCUACAUUAUUAAAGAACUGAAAUAAAAAUAUAUAUCAUUUAGAUAUUGUAAUAUAUUUUACGUUAUUUUGAACACGAUUGAACAUAUUAUAUGCUGCCACUGCAGCUGUCCGUCAUGAUCGUGAUGUAGAUCGUAUAUUUGAAUCGAAACAAUAAUAACGAUGCGAUGCAUUUAUUAUACAAGGUCGUAAAUAACAAAAAUAUUCUAAUAUGUUCUUAUUAUGUAAAUCCGUGUCGUAUUUUUACGAAUUCGACGCUCGGACGCAUUAUAAUGCUAUAUAUAUACUACCUAUAUCAUACUCUGUUAUACGGAUUUUACAGAUUUUUUUUUUGAUUCUGAGCUAUUUAGUUUUACUAUUAUGCGUGUUUUUUGCCAGAAAACAUUUUUCCGAUCAUCAACUAUGUAUAAUAUAUCCUGUAUACUUUCCCAACUGCCCAACUACAACAGUGGCGCAACCAUCAACAACAGGUUUCAGAUCUUUUUUUUUAGACAUUUCAUCGGAAGAAGGAUAAUCGCGGUAUAUUCCGUCGUAAUAAUACUUUUGGCACGAACAUCAUCGAAUCAUAUUACCCAUACACACAAAUGCAUAGGUAUAUGUAUACACUUGUGAAUUUAUAAUGACCCUGGGAUUUUACGGUUGCGCGUGUAAUGACGUUACCGCAAGAUCUUUGUCGGACCAAACGUAAAACAUCACGUAGAUUUCGACCGUAAACUAUGUAUACACAUAUUCUAUAUUGUAAUAAAUGGCCAGAAAUAUUAUUAUGUUUCAAGUAUACGCACUUCGUUUAACUGAAUAGUAUACCUAGGUAUUUAAUAUUUAUAUUCGACGGUCGGUAAACCUAGCUAAUAAUCUUUAUUGCGGAAAAUAAAUUCACAAUCGGGUUAGCGUUUACAUUUAAAUUGUUUGUACGCAUAAGCGUCAUUACGGGAUGGCGAGAGGUCGCAUCUGUCACUCCACCAUUUUUAUUGGGGUAGAAAAUCAAUAUCUCUGAGUAUUUUUUUUUUUAGGACACGAUCGCAUUAAUUUUAAUAUACUAUUGGC